UACAGAUGUGACUGGGAGGUGAACAGCAGUCCUCCGUGGCUCUCCCGUCAUCCUUGGAGAUGACAACGCAGACUUCUUCAAGAAUUUGUGUGAGUUUAGGAUGGCGUGAAGCUUCGACUUGACCCUAUGGAAACACAGCAGAUGCCACCAAAGGGACUCUGAUGACCUUCUGGACGUGUCCCACACCUCCAUUGGGACCCUGACGGUGCUGAAGACAUCGUGGCCUCCUCACUCGCUGAACCUGGAGUCUACAACUACUGCCAUCGUUUUGGGAGGAACAGUCGUGAUGGGUGACCUUGAUAAUCUUCCCCGUGCCGUGUGGCUACUCUUCGGACUUAUUUACCCCUGAAUUUGGAGUAUCCUCAACGAGUGAGGAACACCUUCUGAAUUUAUUCAUAGAGUGCUUCUCACUUGGACCAAAAACCCUAAAAUACAAUCACUCAAAAAUCUACUGAUGCCAUAAGGGACUGUGUUCAUGAUGUGCAGUCAGGCCCGAGAACUUCACCCUUCUAUCUCCAAUAGAACUCUUUUAUAGAAAAUGUCUGUUUUUGUUGUUUUUCUGUAGUGAAAUUUAGCAAAUGCCGAAAACGCUGUGUUCAUCAUAUUUCUGCAUUACAAAACCUAAUCUGGCAACAUGUUCAGCGUUUUAAGCACGUUGUUUGAGUUUUAAAACAUGUGUUUUUCUUCUAAAUAAACGUUGUCUUCCAUUGUAA
This is a long non-coding RNA of Pseudoliparis swirei, 713 nucleotides long. RefSeq lists it as uncharacterized. Lineage: Eukaryota; Metazoa; Chordata; Actinopteri; Perciformes; Liparidae. The record is from RefSeq and is a predicted model, not a curated record. The transcript has 3 exons.